RNAcentral lists this ribosomal RNA (600 nucleotides) under uncultured archaeon. Its description in RNAcentral is "bacterial SSU rRNA". It matches the Rfam family "Archaeal small subunit ribosomal RNA", at positions 71 to 668 of the family's 1478-position model. The record is from RNAcentral.
GGCACCACCGGCGGACGGCUCAGUAACACGUCGGUAACCUACCCUCGGGAGGGGGAUAACCCCGGGAAACUGGGGCUAAUUCCCCAUAGGCCUGAGGUACUGGAAGGUCCUCAGGCCGAAAGGGACUUAUGUCCGCCCGAGGAUGGGCCGGCGGCCGAUUAGGUAGUUGGUGGGGUAAUGGCCCACCAAGCCGAAGAUCGGUACGGGCUGUGAGAGCAGGAGCCCGGAGAUGGACACUGAGACACGGGUCCAGGCCCUACGGGGCGCAGCAGGCGCGAAACCUCCGCAAUGCGGGAAACCGCGACGGGGGGACCCCGAGUGCCGUGGCAACGCCACGGCUUUUCCGGAGUGUAAAAAGCUCCGGGAAUAAGGGCUGGGCAAGGCCGGUGGCAGCCGCCGCGGUAAUACCGGCGGCCCGAGUGGUGGCCGCUAUUAUUGGGCCUAAAGCGUCCGUAGCCGGGCCCGUAAGUCCCUGGCGAAAUCCCACGGCUCAACCGUGGGGCUUGCUGGGGAUACUGCGGGUCUUGGGACCGGGAGAGGCGGGGGGUACCCCUGGGGUAGGGGUGAAAUCCUAUAAUCCCAGGGGGACCGCCAGUGGCG